RNAcentral lists this ribosomal RNA (478 nucleotides) under uncultured Bacteroidota bacterium. RNAcentral's name for it is "bacterial SSU rRNA". It matches the Rfam family "Bacterial small subunit ribosomal RNA", at positions 28 to 505 of the family's 1533-position model. The record is from RNAcentral. Lineage: Bacteria; Pseudomonadati; Bacteroidota.
GAUGAACGCUAGCGGCAGGCUUAACACAUGCAAGUCGAGGGGUAAGGUCUCUUCGGAGAUACACGACCGGCGAACGGGUGCGUAACGCGUACACAACCUACCUUUAAGUGAAGAACAGCCUUUGGAAACGAAGAUUAAUACUUCAUAAUUUUGCAGAUUCGCAUGUUUUUGCAAAUAAAGCUCCGGCGCUUAAAGAUGGGUGUGCGUCCCAUUAGCUAGUUGGUGAGGUAACGGCUCACCAAAGCAACGAUGGGUAGCGGGUCUGAGAGGACGAUCCGCCACACGGGCACUGAGACACGGGCCCGACUCCUACGGGAGGCAGCAGUGAGGAAUAUUGGACAAUGGGCGCAAGCCUGAUCCAGCCAUGCCGCGUGCAGGAUGACGGCCCUCUGGGUUGUAAACUGCUUUUAUGAGAGAAGAAACCCUUGGAUUUAUCCGAGGCUGACGGUACCUCAUGAAUAAGCACCGGCUAACUCCG